RNAcentral lists this ribosomal RNA (1291 nucleotides) under Matrona basilaris. RNAcentral's name for it is "16S ribosomal RNA". The stretch from base 857 to 1223 matches the Rfam family "Archaeal large subunit ribosomal RNA", at positions 2150 to 2716 of the family's 2987-position model. Lineage: Eukaryota; Metazoa; Arthropoda; Insecta; Odonata; Calopterygidae. The record is from RNAcentral.
AAAUAUAUUCUUACUCUUUUAAAAUAGGUUAUUAUUUGGAGAAGUAUCUUUAUUUAUAGUAUAUUAUUGAACUAAUUUUUUUAGUAAUAGUUAAUUAGUACCGUGAGGUACUGUUGAAAUAUGGUGAAAUAUAUUUUUAGUUAAAAGUAUAUUUAGUUGGUAGUACCUUUUGUAUCAGGGUUAAUUUAUUUUAUUAAAUUUAUUUUUAUUUCUCGAUUUUAUAAGAGCUGAUUUAUUAUUUUGUUUGUUGUUGCAUCAACAUCACUAAUAUAUAUCUGGAGAGAUAUUCUAUUCGUUUAUAAGGGUAUCUAGUUCUUUAAGAUCCAAAUUUAAUUUGGUCUUAUUAUUUAUUUACUUUUUUAUUAAAGUACUUAUUUAUUAAGUUUAAAAUUGUAGGGGACAAUCUCUGCUUUUUUCUAAAAAUUAUUUUUAUUUGGGGGUAGUAGGGUUAAUAUCAUUCAUCUUUUAAUUACGUUAUAGUUUAUCUCAUUUUUUAUUAAUUUUAAUUUUUUUUAGUUUUUUAUUAAAGUAUUUUGUUAAAUUAAAUAUCAUUAUUAAUAAUGAUUAAAUUAGUAUGAUUUAUUUGUUUUUUUGUUUUAUCUCGUGAUCUUUUAUUAAGGAACUCGGCAAGCAUAGUUGCUCGCCUGUUUAUCAAAAACAUGUCCUCUUGUAUUUUAUAUGAGGUCGUGCCUGCCCGGUGGAUUAUAUUUUAACGGCCGCGGUAUUUUGACCGUGCAAAGGUAGCAUAAUCAUUAGUCUUUUAAUAGUAGACUGGAAUGAAAGGUUUGACGAAGUACUAUCUGUCUCGAUUUAAUAUUUCUGAACUUAGCUUUUGAGUUAAAAGGCUCAGAUUUUUUUGUAGGACGAGAAGACCCUAUAGAGCUUUAAGGUUCACUUUUUAAGUUUUAAUUUUUUUAUUAAUAUUAUUAUUUCCUGGACUUUUUUGUUGGGGUGACAAGAGAUAUAUAUUUAACUUUUAUUAUUUAUUUUACAUUUAUUUAUGAUUUUUAGAUCCUUUAUUAUAGAUUGUUAGAAUAAGUUACCUUAGGGAUAACAGCGUAAUCUUCCUCCGGAGUUCAAAUUUACAGGAAGGCUUGCGACCUCGAUGUUGGAUUAAGAUUAUGGUCAGGUGUAGCAGCUUGAUCCAUAGGUCUGUUCGACCUUUAAAUUCUUACAUGAUCUGAGUUCAGACCGGUUUAAGCCAGGUCGGUUUCUAUCCUCAAUUUUUUUGUAGUUUUUAGUACGAAAGGACCAUUAUUACGAGUAAUUCUCUAUUUUUUGAAUAUUAUUA